This 554-nucleotide long non-coding RNA is filed under the name Androctonus crassicauda. The record is from RNAcentral. Lineage: Eukaryota; Metazoa; Arthropoda; Arachnida; Scorpiones; Buthidae.
UGGCAUGAUAAAACAAAGAAAAGAGAUGAUAGCAACAGGAGAUUUUAAUAAAUUUAUUUUGUCAAUUCUUGGCUUCAACUGCACUGAUCAAAUCUUUUUGCUAUUUAUACUCUCUGCAGCAAUGGUCACUAUAACAGUCCUAAUGGAUAGAAAAUUCAAAAGUUGCAGACUUAAAAAUGCUAUAGAACAUGAAUUCAAAUUUGUACACUUGCAACAGUUAUAUCAAAGUUGGAUGAUGUGCACAUAUUGUAAAAUCAGUUCAUAAAACAGGAAUUAUUCAGUAUAGCAGUGUUCAUUAUACAUGUGGUUUUUAACGUGGGGAAGAUAGACUGGCCAAUCAUUCUGUGUCAAAAUGUUCAUUAAAUGCAGGUGUUCAUUGUUUUGGAGUUGCUUAUAAUAGGUUUAUAAUGUAGUUAAAUAGACAUAUUCCAAUUUUUGCAAUUAUCAUGAUGAUAAUUUAAUUAUUAUUAAAAAUAAUUACAAAUAUAUUUUAUAAGACAAGUAGUUUGGGGACUGAGUUGAAUUGGCCUUUUGUAUUUUGUGUUUUUGUAGAG